GUGCUCUCUCUCUCUCUCUCAAAAUAAAUACACUUUUAAAAAACAAAAGAAAAAGAAUCAUCUUGGGGCAUAAUUUAGACAUUACAAUGAUAAAUCUGCCAUAGUAUGUGAUAUAAAUGGAUAUAUGAUCCAUUUCUUACUAAAAAAAGUACAUAAUAUAUGUAUUGAAAAAAGUCUAGCAAGAUUCACAUCAAGAGGUGGCCAGAAUGUGGAGCAAGUGGAACUCUUUUUUUUUAAGAUUUUUUUUCUUUUUUAGGUAAUCUCUACACUGUAUGUGGGGCUUGAACCCACAACGCCAAGAUCAAGAGUUGCACUCUACCGACUAAGCCAGUUAGGCACCCCACAAAUGGAACCCUUAUACACUGCUGUGCAGCGUCAAGGAGGAUAUUUGAACCUGGAUCUCCAUACUCUUGGCCAUUAUACUCUUCUGCUGGCUUCAGACUUCCAUGGAAGCUAUGGAACCAUAUGCUCUAUCAAAUAUUAAGAUAAAUCACAAAAGAGAAAGCCAUGAAAUCCAGGAAAAAGGUGGACCAACACAAGAG
Long non-coding RNA from Leopardus geoffroyi (Geoffroy's cat), 542 nucleotides. RefSeq lists it as uncharacterized. The record is from RefSeq and is a predicted model, not a curated record. NCBI's taxonomy places the organism in Eukaryota, Metazoa, Chordata, Mammalia, Carnivora, Felidae. The transcript has 3 exons.